GGAAUAUAAGAACCCGUCUCUUAACUUUUAACUAAAAAAUCUAAGAACCGGUUUUUAAAUAAGAGUUUUAAGAACCGGUUCUUAAUUUUUUUAGUUAAAAGUUAAGUGACGGAUUUUUAUAUUCC
MicroRNA precursor from Brassica oleracea var. oleracea, 125 nucleotides. It matches the Rfam family "MIR9563 microRNA precursor family". Lineage: Eukaryota; Viridiplantae; Streptophyta; Magnoliopsida; Brassicales; Brassicaceae. The record is from Rfam.